Molecule: unclassified non-coding RNA, 3170 nt
Filed under: Thrips palmi
Lineage: Eukaryota; Metazoa; Arthropoda; Insecta; Thysanoptera; Thripidae
Description: nucleolar complex protein 4 homolog B, transcript variant X2
Source: RNAcentral
AUGGCGGCGAGCAAAGUGUCCAAAAAGUUACAUUCUAUGGCUAUAGAUUUCCUUUCUAGCCGAAAAAACGCCAACAAUCUUGCAGACAUCAUUUCCCUCAUUGAGAGUAAUGAUUCUAACAUACAACCAUGCCUCCUUGCUUUAGAAGUUAUCUUUAUUGAGGUUCUGAAACGGCGAGACAUGUAUCAAGAGAUACCAGUUACUGAUUUAAGUACUGCUGAUGGCGAAACUCAAUUUAGAGUAUGGCUAAGAGAGUGCUUUGAAGAUGUCUGGAGUAAACUUCUUGCUGUUAUAACAAACAGUCCAAAGAUUUCUGUUCAAACCCAAGCUUUGUCAACUUCAAUGAAAUUAAUUGCUAUGGAAGGACAGAACCCAUUAGAACCGCUCAAAAAAGGAGAACACUAUUUCCCCAGUCAUCGCUUAAGGCUUUUACUUUUAGCUCUCCUUUCAUCUGGCCGUAAUAGCAGUCCACUUCUAGCUCGCCUCCAAGAAUUCUCAACAUAUCCCGAUGUCCUGUAUAAUGUUUGGAGGCAACUGUUUCCUAUUGCAAUUGGUCUCCAACGCAAUGGUCAAAGACCGGAUGAAAAUUUCAUUCGUAACUAUCUGGAUCUUAUUGACAAAUUCCCGCUACCCAAACCUGGCAGGGGUGAAAGAGGAGAAGAUCAUGACCUAACAGACACCCUGCUCUGUGGACAACAAGGUCACAUUGGCUACAUUUUAAAUAUGGAUCACUUGCGAAAGUCAGUAAACAAAGUUUGGGGAUGUGUAAUGCAUUGGAAUCAUACCCCAGCAACCCAGCGUCUGCUUCUUGUGGUCCUUUUGGAACGUGUUCUACCAUUCCUAGAUAAACCUCUACUUCUUACUGACUACUUGAUGGAUAGUUUAGACUCUGGUGGUGCUGUAAGCCUCCUCGCAUUGCAGGGAAUUUUCACUCUCAUUCAAAACCAUAACCUGGAAUACCCCAAUAUCUUCAGUAAACUGUAUUCAAUGUUUGAACCAGAAAUCUUCCAUACAAAGUUUAAAGCACGAUUGUUUUAUUUAUCAGAUAUGUUCCUAAGCUCAUCGCACCUGCCAGAAAAUAUUGUUGCAGCAUUUGCUAAACGCUUAGCCCGUUUAUCUUUAGUGGCUCCGCCUGAGGACAUUCACAUUAUUCUUAUGUUCAUUGGAAAUCUCAUUUUACGCCAUCCUGGUCUUAAACUUCUCAUAAAUAAUCCAAAUGGCGACAAUGUUCCAGAUGACCCCUUUGUCAUGGAAGAAAGGGAUCCGAGCAAAAGUAGAGCUAUGGAAAGUUCAUUAUGGGAACUACAUACCCUUCAAAGUCAUGUUUUACCUGGAGUGGGAACAGCGGCCAACUUCAUUUACAACCCUCUCCCUUCUGUAGAGUGGGAUCUGAGCCAAAUACUGGAAGAGAGCUCUGAUGAUAUAUUUGAAAGGGAAAUGAAGAAGAAACUAAAAGAGAUUGCUCUAACCUUUGAUCGUCCACAAACAUUGUCACUGCCACAACAUGAACGAGUAUCACAGUUUUGGCAGCUUGUUUAAACACCAUGUUCUUGCUUUGAUUUUGCUGCUGCCUUACUGUUGUUUCAAUUUAUUGGAGGUUGAUAUUUUACAUUCUGAUUUGUAUUCUGUGAAACCCCAUUUCAAAAAAAAUUGCUGUAACAGAAUUUUGACAUAUUUUGAGAUUAUGUCAUCAGGAUUCGUAGUGAGAGGGUUUCACUGUAUUAAAAUAGUUUUCAAGUGUUGAUGUGUUAAAACAAAAAGUUUGAGAGUUGUUUGUUUUUCUUUCACAAGCACAGUUUAUGGAGUCUUUUGUUCUUUUAAAGUAAUUUAUUUCAUGCCAUGUGAAUGGGGGAAUGAACACACUUCUCCCUCUUAAGUCUGAUCGCAUAUGAUAGCCAAUCCCAGUAAAUACUUCAUUACUUAGUUUGUUAAAACCAACUACAACAUUUUUCCUUGAUUAUUGCAUUAUUAAUUGGAAACUUGAGUUUUAAGGUGCCAUAGGGUAUGAAUACUCAAUGUUAAACCACCAAAGCCUUUCUGUAAAUAUUGUUACAUGCAACAAGUAGUGUAGGUACAAAGUAGUGCUGUGUGGUAUCAGCAAGUGUUAGCACUGUUUCUCACACUCAAUCCUCUUGUUUUUUAAUCUUUUAUAUUAUUAUCUGAAUACUUCAAACUCAUCAUACAGUCAAUGGUACUUCAUGUGCCAUGAUUCAAGAGAACUGUAUUCUACACAGGUGUUUCAUAAUCAUCUUGAACGUUAAUUAUGAUAGAUCUGGGGCUGCCCCUAGAAUUGAAAACAGUGCAUUUGCAAUUCGUGUUCCUGGGGUGUGUCAAAAAAUAAAUUGAAGAUUGUAACCAUUGGAAACUUGUAACAAGUUUUAUGUAGGAUUGUGCUUUAAUUGGUUAUUUGUGGACCGAACCCAUGUUUGAUUGUGAGUUUAGUUGUUGCAUUUGCAGAAGAGAAUGAUCAAAAUCAUUCUUGUGCAACAAAUAAUUCUUUGUCUGUGAUUUUUAUCAGUUAAGGGUUAUAACUUGUUCAUAAUUUUAAUUUUGUGUUUAAACUUUCAAAAUUAAGAUUUGUGGAGCUCAAUUUGUAGACUUGCAGUUGCUGCUAAAACCCCAUUUCUUAAUUAUUUGUUUUUAAGAUUUUCUUUUGUAGUACAGUAAUUUGAAUUGUUCACCUUGAUUGAGCAUCCACCCAAGGCACAUAGUGUUGCAAAUUUACUUAAACAUUAACUUUUGACGUGACCCUUUUGUUUCAUAUUGCCAUGUGAGGUAUGGCACCAAUCGCUGUGAUAGUUGGUAUGUUGAAAGGGGCAAUACUGCUGUGUGAGACUGAGUGUUUGCCAUGUCAUACAUGGCUGCAUGUGACUGACUUUCUGAGUCAUGUGAGUGCAGGGAUGGUUUGGAUACUGUGGUGAAAGUUUCAGCAACAAGUGCUUUGAAAGCCAGCUAAUUUCCUUUGGCCUUUAAAGCACAUCUUCACAAAUUUUCUACAUCUUGGUUGCUGCUAAAUGAUUGUUGCUGAACCUUUCAUCUUCGUCUUGAACUUGCUGUGUCUUAUUGUUUCCCUCAAGAGUACUAUCAUUCUAUGUAAUAAAGAGUACAUAUGUUUGCAUUUUCCCAAUUCUUGUGUCAUGAUUAGAGCUAAGAUAAACAGUGAGCCUUUA